This 494-nucleotide long non-coding RNA is filed under the name Elaeis guineensis (African oil palm). Its description in RNAcentral is "long non-coding RNA (EGUI_LNC022366)". Lineage: Eukaryota; Viridiplantae; Streptophyta; Magnoliopsida; Arecales; Arecaceae. The record is from RNAcentral.
UUGGCAACUGGUGGCUGGGGAGGUCGGAGUGGUUAGCUGUUCGCUAAGACAGUUGACGUACGGCGACGGCGGCCAAACCAAAGAAAACAUCCAAAAUUAGGUGUUUGAUCGGCUAGAAAUGAAAAAAUCAGACUAUAAUUAAGGAAAAUAGAGAAGGAUGAGAGAAGAAGACUCACCGACUAUGGCAAAGGCCAUCAAAUCUCGACUGACGAUGAUGAUUUUUCUUUAUAAAAGUGGGGAUGGAUCUUGAAAUCAAAAAAAAAAAGGUAAUAAAGAGGAAAGUGGAGGUUUUGGGAGGUCAGUCUUGGGCUAAGAUGGCUCAACAGCCACUGGAGAGGAGGAAGGGAGGAAGAGGCGAGGGAGUGCUCGAUGAUGCCGAAAGCAAAGGAGGAGGGGGAGGUUUAAAUAGGGAAGGAUGUGAAAGGAUAAGACCGGUCUAAUACUGGCCAUUCGCCGAUUGCACGGCCUCCAAUGACCAUCAGCCAUUCGCACCA